UGGGGAAUUUUGGACAAUGGGCGCAAGCCUGAUCCAGCCAUACCGCGCGAGUGAAGAAGGCCUUCGGGUUGUAAAGCUCUUUUGUCAGGGAAGAAACGGUGAGAGCUAAUAUCUCUUGCUAAUGACGGUACCUGAAGAAUAAGCACCGGCUAACUACGUGCCAGCAGCCGCGGUAAUACGUAGGGUGCAAGCGUUAAUCGGAAUUACUGGGCGUAAAGCGUGCGCAGGCGGUUUUGUAAGUCUGAUGUGAAAUCCCCGGGCUCAACCUGGGAAUUGCAUUGGAGACUGCAAGGCUAGAAUCUGGCAGAGGGGGGUAGAAUUCCACGUGUAGCAGUGAAAUGCGUAGAUAUGUGGAGGAACACCGAUGGCGAAGGCAGCCCCCUGGGUCAAGAUUGACGCUCAUGCACGAAAGCGUGGGGAGCAAACAGGAUUAGAUACCCCCGUAGUCCCUGAGCGGGCUGGCAAGGCGCAU
RNAcentral lists this ribosomal RNA (472 nucleotides) under uncultured bacterium. Its description in RNAcentral is "bacterial SSU rRNA". It matches the Rfam family "Bacterial small subunit ribosomal RNA", at positions 355 to 825 of the family's 1533-position model. The record is from RNAcentral.